This is a long non-coding RNA of Daucus carota subsp. sativus, 702 nucleotides long. RefSeq lists it as uncharacterized. The transcript is spliced from 4 exons. The record is from RefSeq and is a predicted model, not a curated record. NCBI's taxonomy places the organism in Eukaryota, Viridiplantae, Streptophyta, Magnoliopsida, Apiales, Apiaceae.
AAAUGUUGAGCGGUCUUUUUUCCCAAAACAAAAUUUUGGUUACUUUUAGUUUCCUUCUCAGACUCGCUCUCUCUGUCGUCUCUCUCUCGAGCUCUCCGUCUCUCUCUCUAUCUCUCUGGACCCCCUCUCUCUCUCGAGGUGAUUAGAGCUUCAGAUUGUUGCUUCAACUCUUCUUCUUCGAUUAAUUGGUCAGAAGAACAAUUUUGGUCCAAGUCGAGUGAGAAUGAUGAUGAAACUUUAAAUGAAGAGGGACAAUCAAAGCAUAGCACUCUGAUGGUGCAUCUGAUGGUGUCUAGCAGACUAGUAAUCUGGUAGGAGAAAUAUGUUAUAUUUUUCACUUACGGCACCAUUUUUAUCUCUCUUGCAGGUUAUGAAAUAUGUGCCUUAAUGGUAUAAUGGAUGCUCAUCUCUGCUACUUUAAACAGAGAGACUGAAUCCAGACCACUGGAGGCUUAGGGUGAGACGAUGACAUGAUGGAGAGGAUGGAGCUUGAACUUUUACUAUUUAUUUUUUAAAUUUCAGUUAAUUGUGAUACUUUAACACUUGUUUUGCUGGUUGUGGAUACACCAUUGUGGGGUGUUUGGAUUUUGAAAUUGUUAAAUUUGGUUACGAGGAUUGUCUUGUUUAGCAACUAUAUGAAUCAUGUUUUAUAUUUAUUAUUAGCACUGGUUGUGAGCCGACUUGAUAGUCUAAUCCACACAG